This is a long non-coding RNA of Lytechinus pictus (painted urchin), 1725 nucleotides long. RefSeq lists it as uncharacterized. The transcript has 3 exons. NCBI's taxonomy places the organism in Eukaryota, Metazoa, Echinodermata, Echinoidea, Temnopleuroida, Toxopneustidae. The record is from RefSeq and is a predicted model, not a curated record.
AUUGCACGUUGUAAUAGGCGUCAGAGUCAACAUAAGCUGACACACUUUAUGCUAUUCGGAAUUGGCGCGAAGGACGGUAUUACCCAAGUUUUUCCUAUGCUUGUAAGGCCUGUAUAUACUGCAGGAAUAGAAGCCAAAUCAUAUGAUAUUCCCUUGGUCACGUCAUAAAUAUUUGAUGACCCUCCUGAUUGCUCUGAUUACAUAACAGACGUAAUUAAAAUGCAGUGAUUUCUUCAGCAACAUUGAGUACUCCAGCCAGACUUGGUUUAUUAAUAGGAGCAUUGAACGGACAAGGGCCAUUGUCGUAGGCUGUAAUAAUUAUCUAGGAUCACUCGAUAUUCAUAGUUACUACGCUGGGCGAUGGCAUCAACAAGCAGGACUAUUGUUUGUUAAUUUACUCUGGGACUAAUUAGCGAGGAUUGUUGUUUCACUCUUGGCUAUGGUUACUGCAGUGUGGGUCCAUAGCUGAGGAUCGUUUUUCAUGGGGAAGACUGCGAAGGGACAAGAUAAGACCUGGUGCUGCCUGCCUGCUUACUUGCCUGCUGAAUGAUCAACAUUUGAGUAAUGACUGAUAGAUAUGAAUUGGAGUGUUUGCUAUCAGGAUUAAUCUCUUGCUAACUCACUGUUUACAACAGUUUAGUCUGUAGCAGCCAGGAAGCAAGGUUUUUCUUUUAGCUUAGGUCAGGAGACAGGAUAAGCGUGUUGAAUCUUGGACAACCACCCCAUAUGAAGCUGUGUUGCUUGCUAAAUUAAAAUCUGUGUAACAUUCCCAGUACAAGUUCAGCCCUGAGUUGAACAUGCAUGGAAUAUAUUGGACAAGUUUGUUGCAUCAUAGAUUCUGACUGUACGGAUGGAGCCCAUAAAAUUUGGAUUCAUAUUGAAUACCAUUUCUCUGAUGAUUUCAUGACAAUUGUGCAUUGAUUGUUCAAGGAUUAUUCACCCUGAUGGCAAACAAUUGUCUUGUGUGUGCUUAGAGGAAUCUGUAUUCUGUGAACUUCUUAAACAUUCCAAUAUUUUUGUAUCCGAGGUCCUGUGUUUCUUCUGAUACAUUGGUUAUGAAAAUUGUUCAUCUUCCUUUCAUCAUCAGUUGAUGUGAGUUCGUCGUUUAGAAGAGGUUAUCACUUAAGAUGUGCAUCAUCUGAAUUAGAGCUACUAGAACAAAACCAAAGAGAUAUUUGCUUGAUGAUCCCAAAUGCUUCUUUCACCCAUUCAGAUAUCAUGUAAACACAACAGAACACAAGUCCCUAUUUAGCCUCGCUCCAGUGGCUUGAGAGCAAAGAUAUACUGAAAGCAAAGGACUAUUUUUAGGAAAAACUGAUGCUUCAACGCCAGAAGGGCCUCAAGAAGUGAGAGAAUAUUUACCCCUUGUUGGGAGAGGGAGAAAGAUAAAGUGUUUUCUUAUCUCGCUCUGAAUGUAUUUCUGGAGAGCUUUAGAGUUUGUGAAAGUUUUAGAUGGCUGUCAGUAGCGAAGGACACGAGCCUAGUCGAGUGGCUCUGUUUCUUGAAGCGGCACUCCUCAAAUGUCCAACAGGAAUAAAUCGAAGGCUGUUUAAUGUUAAAAUCAGAGAAAUUGAGGCUGCAGAUACAUGUCAAUGGCUAAGAGCAACAGGGUUCCCACAGUAUGCACAAAUGUUUGAAGAGAGUCGGUACCCAAUAGAUUUGGAGCUUGUGCAAAAAGAUCAUGAUUUUUUGGACCAAGAUUUGUUAGAUUCAGUUGUAAGGUGA